Long non-coding RNA from Cucumis melo (muskmelon), 3107 nucleotides. RefSeq lists it as uncharacterized. The transcript has 10 exons. Lineage: Eukaryota; Viridiplantae; Streptophyta; Magnoliopsida; Cucurbitales; Cucurbitaceae. The record is from RefSeq and is a predicted model, not a curated record.
GAACUUUUAAGAAUCACUGUAAGAAUUGUAUAUUUCAUUAUGAAGAUCGAUAGUUUAAAGUUUUUUAGGAUAAUUUUUAUUGAAUUACUUGAUCGUUUACCUAUAUAAACAUCAUCGUUUAACAGUAUACAUAUGAUCGUUUUGCUAUAUGAACACGAAAAUUUUCAAUAUUUUGUAUGAUCAGCGUCUUUAAACGAUCGUGUAUCAAAAUAAAUAUGAUUAUUUUAACAAUCAACGUUUUUAAACGAUCGCGUAUCAAAUUCAAUAUGAUUGUUUAAACGGUCAGCGCCUUUAAACGAUUGUGUAUCAAAUUCAAUACGAUGAUUUAUACGAUUAGUGUCUUUAAACGAUAGUGUAUCAAAUUGAAUACUAUGGUUUAAACGAUCAGUGUCUUUAAACGAUCGUCUAUAGCUUAUUCUAUACAAUGAUUUAAUUUAUUAUAUACGAUCGUCUAUUGGUGUUGAACGAUCCUUUAGUAUUUAUUAACUUCUUUGCACGAUCAUUUAGUAUUCUCUUAUUAAAUAUAAAUACUUAAUUAUAUUUUCUUCUUUUUCAAAUUAGAAUGUCUAUUCCUAUUGUUGUUUUUUAUGGUUGUCAAUGGAAUUACUGCAAUGUUUAUGAGAAUUACUUUAUGUCCGAAAUUUUGGUAGAUAUGCGAGUCAGCUUUAAUUCUUUAGUUGCUUUGAUGUGUGAACAACUUGAAUUGGAUGAAUCAGUAGAAUUAUCUAUUUUACUUGAUUUUGGUAAAAGUAAUGUUCAAACUGUGGUGUCAAUAAAGAAGGAUAAUGAUGCAACUAGCAGACAUCCAUUAGUUGCCCAUGUAAGUGUUAAUUGUUUAGGAAUGUCUUCUUCAUCUAGUAGUGUACGUGAGUAUGUUGAUAUGUCACUGAAUAUAGGUUUUUCUUCUUCUGUUUCAAAUGAUGAAGUUAUAAGAGACAUUUCUUAUUAUUCUGAUUUGAUGGAAAAAGUUUAUUUGAAAGUAAAGAAGUGCAUUCAAAGUGUUUUUGCAUAAUAGUAGUGAAGAACAACUUUCAAUUUAGGACUACAGUAUCAAAUUUGAGGUUUCUUGAAUUUAGAUGUCUGCAAGAAGGCUGCAAAUGGUAUGUAAGGGCAUCUCGUUAUAAGAAGAGUGAUUUAUGGAUGCUACGAAAAUACACUUCUGACCAUGAUUGUUCUUUGAGUACUGCCCAAAGUUCUCACAUGCAAGUUUCUUCAACAGUAAUUGGUAAUUGUUUGAUAGACGAUUUUAUAUUCAUGUCUACUGAUCGUUCCAUUACUAAAGAGAUUGUGCACAAGGCUCGUACAAAUCUUGGAGUUAAUAUAAGUUAUCAGAAAGCUUGGAGGGCAAAAGAACAUAUGGUAAAGAUACUACAUGGUGACACAGUUGAAUCAUAUGCCUUGAUUUCAAGAUUCUUUGAUAAAUUGGUUGAAUCUAACCCAGGUACAUGCACUGCUUGAGAAAUGGAUGAUAGUGGUCAUUUCAAAUUUUGCUUUAUGGCUUUUGGGGCAUCAAUUGAGGGGUGAAAAUAUUGUAGACCUAUUAUUUCUGUUGAUGGGACAUUUUUUAAGUGUAACUUUUGGUGGCAUCCUAUUAACAGCCUCAUCACAAGAUGGGAUGUAUUGCAAAAGUGGUUUUAUGAACGAAGUAAAGCUGCUUCUAGAAGAAAGAGUCAUUUGACUUUUUGGGCUAAGAACGUUCUGCGUUUGGAAAAUGAAAAGUUGAGAAGAUUACUGAACUACUAGCAAAGAGUAUAUUAUCUCAAUGGAUACCGAAAACAUUUUGAGAUCAAGUUAGUUCUUACAUUGGAAAACUGAGAUUCUCACAGCAAUCUUUACUUGGUUACUUCCAAUGCCUACUGAUUCUUCUUGACUCCACUGACUUGGUUCUUGGUACCAUUGCUACGAAAGAAAGCAAGAAUGAGGUAUGUAAUGGGGGAUUAUUUGGAAGAUAGAGCUUCUAUUAUUGAAGAUAAAGUGAUGGAUGCUGAAGGUAAGGAAGACAUAUUGGUUGUCAUACUCGUAGAAUGAGUUUUAGUUUUAGCUUCUUUGUCAAAGUUCUAACCUCUCCCUUUAUGUUAGGGUGACAACUAAUCAUUCCUGGUUUGCAAGAAAAAUCCUUACUUUGGUCAUGUUUCUUUGGUAAAUUUAAUUUUUUCACGUCCGAAGGUAGACAAGUUCAAUUAACACUUGGAAGUAUGCUUUGUAAGAAGUUUCAUGUUGGGGUUUUAAGAGUAAUUUGCUUCAUCAAUGGUUUCUUAUGUGUCAAUUAUGAGGAAUCCUAUUUGCCCACCAAGUGUUUGUUUAUUUGCCUUGGUUUGAUGCAAUGUAUCAAUCAACUUGCUCUUUGCUUUAGGUUUAUAUGAUAUCUUUUGGUCGUGUUGGUUCAUUUGCAACACUUAAUGGUAGGUUAUUGCCCUUGCAAUCAUAAAUUUUAUUUUGAAGAAACAUUUAUUUUUAUUGUGAUAUUUUGCUUGGAGAGUUUGUGUACUUUUUUGAAGAAGGAUUUGAUUGAGUUUGUGUAAUAUUUUUCUUCAGGGGGAGGGGUGAAAAAUUGAUUACUAGGUGCGGAUGAAAUGAAACCUUUCAGGAAUAUACUAUAGUAGAAAAUUUAUAUUUAAGCACUGUGUAUUUUGUCUUCUGGCCAGUCAUUUGGGACCUCCAAAAAGACAAACAACUAAAGAGGAAGAAGAGAAAGGGAAACAUCCAAAUUUUGAGGAAUUGCAAGACAGUUAGCAUUGUCAGGUUAUGGAGUAUUUUCUAUGGAUUAUCCAGGAUUUGGUCUUUCAAGUCUCCAUGGUUUUAUACCAAGGUUUGAUAGAAUUGUGGAUGACGUCCUUGAACGUUACUCCAAAGUGAAAGGUUUAUAUGUCAAACUUGAGGAGCCAUAAUGUAAAAUGAAGGAAACAAAUUGUAAUCGGGUUUCUUUAUUGAUUUGCAGGGGUCAAUUUCAAUUAGUGAAUGGAAUUGAGUCUUAACCAGAGGACUAAUGAACCAACGAUGACAGUUAGCUCAUAUAAUCUUGUACACUUAUGAUGAACUUUAUAUUUUGAGGGUUAAUUUCUGUGGUUGAUACAUUUACUAAUUUAUGUAUUUUGAGGGUUAAUUUA